AUGAUGAAGAGAAGAAGAAAACGGCGGCGAGAAGGUCUCAGGGGCGGUUUCCAGCGAAGAAGAAGGGUGAUUCCGACAAGUUCUGAGUCAGGUGCGGUGACUGUUUUUCAGGUGAAGUUUUUUCUUCCUUCUCACUGUGUAUUCUCUCUGAGUCCUAAAAAAAUCUCCCUCUAUUUAGUGCUAAUGAAUCCUUUUAUACAGUUAGACUAUGGCUUGGCCCAAUAA
Molecule: non-coding RNA, 225 nt
Organism: Vicia faba (fava bean)
Lineage: Eukaryota; Viridiplantae; Streptophyta; Magnoliopsida; Fabales; Fabaceae
Source: the annotation of a GenBank genome assembly